GGGGUUGUGGCUCAGUGGUAGAGUGCUUGCCUAGCAUGCAUGAGGCACUGCUUUCAAUUCUCAGCACCA
RNAcentral lists this transfer RNA (69 nucleotides) under Marmota marmota marmota (Alpine marmot). It matches the Rfam family "tRNA". From Rfam's summary of the family: Transfer RNA (tRNA) molecules are approximately 80 nucleotides in length. Their secondary structure includes four short double-helical elements and three loops (D, anti-codon, and T loops). Further hydrogen bonds mediate the characteristic L-shaped molecular structure. tRNAs have two regions of fundamental functional importance: the anti-codon, which is responsible for specific mRNA codon recognition, and the 3' end, to which the tRNAs corresponding amino acid is attached (by aminoacyl-tRNA synthetases). tRNAs cope with the degeneracy of the genetic code in two manners: having more than one tRNA (with a specific anti-codon) for a particular amino acid; and 'wobble' base-pairing, i.e. permitting non-standard base-pairing at the 3rd anti-codon position. The record is from Rfam by way of RNAcentral. Lineage: Eukaryota; Metazoa; Chordata; Mammalia; Rodentia; Sciuridae. RNAcentral also lists the same sequence under 4 other names.